GGGCGAAUGGUCUAGGGGUAUGAUAUUCGCUUUGCAUUGUUCUCCUGUCUGGAUUCUCCAGAACAGUUAAUGCCUGCGAAGGGUCCGGGGUUCAAAUCCCCGUUCGUCCA
Molecule: transfer RNA, 110 nt
Filed under: Xylaria castorea
Lineage: Eukaryota; Fungi; Ascomycota; Sordariomycetes; Xylariales; Xylariaceae
Description: tRNA-Ala
Rfam family: tRNA
About the family: Transfer RNA (tRNA) molecules are approximately 80 nucleotides in length. Their secondary structure includes four short double-helical elements and three loops (D, anti-codon, and T loops). Further hydrogen bonds mediate the characteristic L-shaped molecular structure. tRNAs have two regions of fundamental functional importance: the anti-codon, which is responsible for specific mRNA codon recognition, and the 3' end, to which the tRNAs corresponding amino acid is attached (by aminoacyl-tRNA synthetases). tRNAs cope with the degeneracy of the genetic code in two manners: having more than one tRNA (with a specific anti-codon) for a particular amino acid; and 'wobble' base-pairing, i.e. permitting non-standard base-pairing at the 3rd anti-codon position.
Source: RNAcentral